GCAUAUCAAUAAGCGGAGGAAAAGAAACCAACAGGGAUUGCCUUAGUAGCGGCGAGUGAAGCGGCAAGAGCUCAAAUUUGAAAUCUGGUACUUUCAGUAUCCGAGUUGUAAUUUGAAGAAAGUUAUCUUGGAGUUGGCCCUUGUCUAUGUUCCUUGGAACAGGACGUCACAGAGGGUGAGAAUCCCGUGCGAUGGGGUGCCCAUUCUAUGUAAGAUACUUUCGACGAGUCGAGUUGUUUGGGAAUGCAGCUCUAAGUGGGUGGUAAAUUCCAUCUAAAGCUAAAUAUUGGCGAGAGACCGAUAGCGAACAAGCACAGUGAUGGAAAGAUGAAAAGAACUUUGAAAAGAGAGUGAAAAAGUACGUGAAAUUGUUGAAAGGGAAGGGUAUUUGAUCAGACUGAUAUUCAGUUAACACUGUUCCUUGUGGAUGGUGCUCUAGCUUUUUAUUGGGCCAGCAUCAGUUUAGGUGGCAGGAUAAGAACUGUUGAACGUGGCUCUUCGGAGUGUUAUAGCUUCAGUUGAUACCGCCUAUCUAGACUGAGGUCUGCGGCUUUGCCUAGGAUGCUGGCGUAAUGGUCUAAUACCCGCCCGUCUUGAAACACGGACC
Molecule: ribosomal RNA, 607 nt
Filed under: uncultured fungus
Lineage: Eukaryota; Fungi
Description: eukaryotic LSU rRNA
Rfam family: Eukaryotic large subunit ribosomal RNA
Source: RNAcentral